UACGGAGGGUGCAAGCGUUAUCCGGAUUCACUGGGUUUAAAGGGUGCGUAGGUGGGUCUGUAAGUCAGUGGUGAAAUCUCCAAGCUUAACUUGGAAACUGCCGUUGAUACUAUAGCUCUUGAAUGUUGUGGAGGUGAGCGGAAUAUGUCAUGUAGCGGUGAAAUGCUUAGAUAUGACAUAGAACACCAAUUGCGAAGGCAGCUCACUACACAAAUAUUGACACUGAGGCACGAAAGCGUGGGGAUCAAACAG
Molecule: ribosomal RNA, 252 nt
Filed under: uncultured bacterium
Lineage: Bacteria
Description: partial 16S ribosomal RNA
Rfam family: Bacterial small subunit ribosomal RNA
Source: RNAcentral